This 253-nucleotide ribosomal RNA is filed under the name uncultured prokaryote. Its description in RNAcentral is "partial 16S ribosomal RNA". It matches the Rfam family "Bacterial small subunit ribosomal RNA", at positions 524 to 776 of the family's 1533-position model. The record is from RNAcentral.
UACAGAGGUCUCAAGCGUUGUUCGGAUUCAUUGGGCGUAAAGGGUGCGUAGGCGGUGAGGUAAGUUGGAUGUGAAAUCCCGGGGCUUAACCCCGGAACUGCAUUCAAUACUGCCUUGCUAGAGUACUGGAGAGGAGAUUGGAAUUCACGGUGUAGCAGUGAAAUGCGUAGAGAUCGUAAGGAAGACCAGUGGCGAAGGCGGGUCUCUGGACAGUUCCUGACACUGAGGCACGAAGGCCAGGGGAGCAAACGGG